GUGCCAGCCGCCGCGGUAAUACGUAGGGGGCGAGCGUUGUCCGGAUUUAUUGGGCGUAAAGAGCUCGUAGGCGGCUUGGCAAGUCGGGUGUGAAACCUCCAGGCUCAACCUGGAGACGCCACUCGAUACUGCUAUGGCUAGAGUCCGGUAGGGGACCACGGAAUUCCUGGUGUAGCGGUGAAAUGCGCAGAUAUCAGGAGGAACACCGGUGGCGAAGGCGGUGGUCUGGGCCGGCACUGACGCUGAGGAGCGAAAGCGUGGGUAGCAAACAGGAUUAGAAACCCCGGUAGUCC
RNAcentral lists this ribosomal RNA (293 nucleotides) under uncultured bacterium. RNAcentral's name for it is "partial 16S ribosomal RNA". It matches the Rfam family "Bacterial small subunit ribosomal RNA", at positions 505 to 796 of the family's 1533-position model. The record is from RNAcentral.